This 253-nucleotide ribosomal RNA is filed under the name uncultured prokaryote. RNAcentral's name for it is "partial 16S ribosomal RNA". It matches the Rfam family "Bacterial small subunit ribosomal RNA", at positions 525 to 777 of the family's 1533-position model. The record is from RNAcentral.
ACGUAGGGGGCCAGCGUUGUUCGGAAUUACUGGGUGUAAAGGGUCAGUAGGCGGUGUGGCAAGUCGGGAGUGAAAUCUCUGGGCUCAACUCAGAGGCUGCUUCCGAAACUGCUGUGCUUGAGUGUGGGAGAGGCGCGUGGAAUUGCAGGUGUAGCGGUGAAAUGCGUAGAUAUCUGCAGGAACACCCGUGGCGAAAGCGGCGCGCUGGACCACAACUGACGCUGAAUGACGAAAGCUAGGGGAGCAAACAGGA